UUCAUUCCCUUUAUUUUUUUCCACACAAUAUUUUUAUUUUUUUUUCCCUCAAUUUUUUUCUCUUUCUUCAAUUUUUUUUCCUCUACGAAGAAACCCUCGACGAAUCGUGAGAAAAUUGGUUUUGGAAGAUUAGGUAUGUAUUUCAAUCUCUCUGUAUGGCUAAUUUGGUUUUAGAAUUCAUAAGUUUUGUUUCAAUCGUAUAUAUAUAUAUAUAUGUGUGUCUGUAUUGAUCUAUCUAUGGUUUUGUGAUUUUGGUUUGAUUCAGGCAUCAAACUAGUAGUUGGACUUCUUCUUCUUCCUCCUCUUGUUGAUCUUCCUCGUAUUUUAAUUUUUAAAGUUUCCAGAUUUUUUUAACCGUUCUUUAUGUUGUACUCAUCUAGGGCCGUUUGGUUUGAUUCGACACAAAACUAUUUCAAUUGGUUGGGUUUCUUUCUUCUUCCUCGUAAGUUUCUUCCUUUAAUCCUCUUUGUGAUUUUGUUUAGGGUUUCAAAAUUUAACUAAUCUUUUUCUGUUUCUUUAACUUUUGUUUUAGGGUUUAUGUUUUGAAUCUAACCAUGGAAGGUUGUCUCGGCUUCGUCGAGGUAUUUUUUCUAUCUCUCCGGUUUUGUUUUUUGUUUUUGAUUUUGUGGUUUUCAAUUUUUUUUGAGGAUUUGAAUCGAACUAGUAGAACUGAUUAGGUCUACGGUUUGAUCAAAUGUAUUGUUUUUUUCUUAAGCAAUCGACUUUUGUCUGUUGUUGUAUUGUGAAUCUGGAAUCAAGAUUUUGUUUUUGGUUUUUGUUUUCUUGAUCCAGUAACAAAAAAAAAANN
Molecule: long non-coding RNA, 808 nt
Filed under: Capsella grandiflora
Lineage: Eukaryota; Viridiplantae; Streptophyta; Magnoliopsida; Brassicales; Brassicaceae
Description: long non-coding RNA (CGRA_LNC001223)
Source: RNAcentral